Molecule: ribosomal RNA, 376 nt
Filed under: uncultured bacterium
Lineage: Bacteria
Description: bacterial SSU rRNA
Rfam family: Bacterial small subunit ribosomal RNA
Source: RNAcentral
AUACGGAGGGGGCUAGCGUUGUUCGGAAUUACUGGGCGUAAAGGGCGCGUAGGCGGCCCGCCAAGUCCGGCGUGAAAGUCCUGGGCUCAACCCGGGGACGGCGCUGGAGACUGGCGGGCUGGAGUCCGGGAGAGGGUGGCGGAAUUCCCAGUGUAGAGGUGAAAUUCGUAGAUAUUGGGAAGAACACCGGUGGCGAAGGCGGCCACCUGGCCCGGGACUGACGCUGAGGCGCGAAAGCGUGGGGAGCAAACAGGAUUAGAUACCCUGGUAGUCCACGCCGUAAACGAUGCGUGCUAGACGUCGGGGGGCAUGCCCUUCGGUGUCGCAAGCCAACGCGUUAAGCACGCCGCCUGGGGAGUACGGCCGCAAGGUUAAA